Molecule: non-coding RNA, 46 nt
Organism: Podiceps cristatus (great crested grebe)
Lineage: Eukaryota; Metazoa; Chordata; Aves; Podicipediformes; Podicipedidae
Source: Rfam
UUCUUGGUUUUGUUAAAAACCACCACACACACAAAACAAAAAGAAA